This 240-nucleotide ribosomal RNA is filed under the name uncultured Lactobacillus sp. RNAcentral's name for it is "partial 16S ribosomal RNA". It matches the Rfam family "Bacterial small subunit ribosomal RNA", at positions 123 to 354 of the family's 1533-position model. Lineage: Bacteria; Bacillati; Bacillota; Bacilli; Lactobacillales; Lactobacillaceae. The record is from RNAcentral.
AACCUGCCCCAUAGUCUGGGAUACCACUUGGAAACAGGUGCUAAUACCGGAUAAGAAAGCGGAUCGCAUGAUCAGCUUUUAAAAGGCGGCGUAAGCUGUCGCUAUGGGAUGGCCCCGCGGUGCAUUAGCUAGUUGGUAAGGUAAAGGCUUACCAAGGCGAUGAUGCAUAGCCGAGUUGAGAGACUGAUCGGCCACAUUGGGACUGAGACACGGCCCAAACUCCUACGGGAGGCAGCAGAA